CCUACGGGUGGCAGCAGUGAGGAAUAUUGGUCAAUGGACGAGAGUCUGAACCAGCCAAGUAGCGUGAAGGAUGACUGCCCUAUGGGUUGUAAACUUCUUUUAUAUGGGAAUAAAACGUUCCACGUGUGGGAUUUUGUAUGUACCCUAUGAAUAAGGAUCGGCUAACUCCGUGCCAGCAGCCGCGGUAAUACGGAGGAUCCGAGCGUUAUCCUGAUUUAUUGGGUUUAAAGGGAGCGUAGGUGGAUUGUUAAGUCAGUUGUGAAAGUUUGCGGCUCAACCGUAAAAUUGCAGUUGAAACUGGCAGUCUUGAGUACAGUAGAGGUGGGCGGAAUUCGUGGUGUAGCGGUGAAAUGCUUAGAUAUCACGAAGAACUCCGAUUGCGAAGGCAGUUCACUGGACUGCAACUGACACUGAGGCUCGAAAGUGUGGGUAUCAAACAGGAUUAGAUACCCCGGUAGUC
This 460-nucleotide ribosomal RNA is filed under the name uncultured bacterium. RNAcentral's name for it is "partial 16S ribosomal RNA". It matches the Rfam family "Bacterial small subunit ribosomal RNA", at positions 338 to 795 of the family's 1533-position model. The record is from RNAcentral.